This is a long non-coding RNA of Physeter macrocephalus (sperm whale), 240 nucleotides long. RefSeq lists it as uncharacterized. The record is from RefSeq and is a predicted model, not a curated record. The transcript is spliced from 3 exons. NCBI's taxonomy places the organism in Eukaryota, Metazoa, Chordata, Mammalia, Artiodactyla, Physeteridae.
CGGCAGACUAUCUUACCUCCUACUCUGCUUCUCCGUCAACUUGUAACUUCACCACUUACUUUACUCAGAAAACUGUAUCAGGCAGCAGGAGAUCCAGAGGCCAGAGAAGUUAGAUGGCAUUCCGAAGAUCACCAGAUUUUGUAAGAUGGAGCCAGGACCAGAGCCCAGGCAUGGGAGCCAGUGAACUGUUUGAUGCAGGGGAAAGAAAACAGACUCACCAAGGAAGUAUAAGCAAUGCGG